UGGUUCUGGCAUCGAUGAAGAACGCAGCGAAAUGCGAUAAGUAAUGCGAAUUGCAGAAUUCCGUGAGUCAUCGAAUCUUUGAACGCACAUUGCGCCCUUUGGUAUUCCGAAGGGCAUGCCUGUUCGAGCGUCAUUAACACCCCUCAAGCCUGGCUUGACGUUGGACUCGGCGGUGAUCCGCCGGUCCCAAAGACAAUGACGGUGCCCGUAGGCCCCCGGUACAAUGAGCUGUUUCAGCACGUACCGCGGCGGUCUCCGGACCCGGUCAGACCUAUUUUUUUCAUGUUGACCUCGGAUCAGGUAGGAAUACCCGCUGA
Molecule: unclassified non-coding RNA, 317 nt
Filed under: uncultured fungus
Lineage: Eukaryota; Fungi
Description: partial contains 5.8S ribosomal RNA and internal transcribed spacer 2
Rfam family: 5.8S ribosomal RNA (bases 1-133)
Source: RNAcentral